CUAAGAAUAUUCCGCAAUGGACGGAAGUCUGACGGAGCGACGCCGCGUGGAUGACGAAGGCCGAAAGGUUGUAAAGUUCUUUUGCUGGGGAAGAAUAACCGCAGGAGGGAAUGCCUGUGGGAUGACAAGAACCGGCGAAUAAGCCCCGGCCAACUACGUGCCAGCAGCCGCGGUAACACGUAGGGGGGCGAGCGUUGUUCGGAAUUACUGGGCGUAAAGGGCAUGUAGGCGGCUUGGAAAGCCUGGCGUGAAAGUCUGCAGCUUAACUGCAGGGGUGCGCUGGGAACUGCUGAGCUUGAGUGACGGAGAGGGAGCUGGAAUUCCUGGUGUAGGGGUGAAAUCUGUAGAUAUCAGGAAGAACACCGAUGGCGAAGGCAAGCUCCUGGCCGAUGACUGACGCUGAGGUGCGAAAGUGUGGGGAUCAAACAGGAUUAGAUACCCUGGUAGUCCACACAGUCAACGAUGUGCACUAGGUGCUGGGGCGGUAGCUUCGGUGCCGGAGCGAACGUGGUAAGUGCACCGCCUGGGGAGUAUGCUCGCAAGGGUGAAACUCAAGGAAUUGAC
RNAcentral lists this ribosomal RNA (564 nucleotides) under uncultured bacterium. RNAcentral describes it as "partial 16S ribosomal RNA". It matches the Rfam family "Bacterial small subunit ribosomal RNA", at positions 355 to 914 of the family's 1533-position model. The record is from RNAcentral.